Non-coding RNA from Taeniopygia guttata (zebra finch), 479 nucleotides. The record is from RefSeq and is a predicted model, not a curated record. Lineage: Eukaryota; Metazoa; Chordata; Aves; Passeriformes; Estrildidae.
GGUGUGGGCGGGUGAUGGAUGGAUGGUACCGGUGUGCGUGGGUGACGUUCGGGCACCGAUAGGUACGGGACGGACACCCGAAGGGGGAGCGAGGCUGGCGCAUGGUGGGGCCGGUUCCGCUUGAGCGGAGGUGCCGGUGGCGGGGUGAUGGCACAACUGAUCCUGAACGCCGUCUGAGGACGGGAAAGGACAGACUGGACGGGAGCUGGAGAGAAGCCGGCGCCGAUGUGGAUCGUGCCUGACGAUUCGGAUCACCUUCACGGUGAAAUGCCAGAGCCGGUGCACCAGGGGAGUGCAGGGGACAGUGUCUGCCCCGGCCGCAGGAAGGCUUUUGGCGCUGUACCUCUUGGGAUCCAACGACGAGGUGUUGGGAGCAUGGGCUGGAAGAGUCGGGAGCGGCUGCAUUGGACCGGGGCUGUAUGGCCGAGCCCAGAGCAGGGUGUUCAGCGGCCGGUAAUGAGCAGUGUACCCCGGGGUCA